Molecule: ribosomal RNA, 465 nt
Filed under: uncultured bacterium
Lineage: Bacteria
Description: partial 16S ribosomal RNA
Rfam family: Bacterial small subunit ribosomal RNA
Source: RNAcentral
CUACGGGCGGCUGCAGUGAGGAAUUUUGCGCAAUGGGGGAAACCCUGACGCAGCAACGCCGCGUGAGUGAUGAAGGCCUUCGGGUCGUAAAGCUCUGUUAAGUGGGAAGAACCCACCCUGUGCUAAUAUCACAGGGUGCUGACGGUACCACUGAAGGAAGCACCGGCUAACUCCGUGCCAGCAGCCGCGGUAAUACGGAGGGUGGAAGCGUUAUUCGGAAUUACUGGGCGUAAAGGGCGCGUAGGCGGCCUUUUAAGUCAGAUGUGAAAUCCCGGGGCUCAACCCCGGCAGUGCAUCUGAAACUAAGAGGCUUGAGUAUGGGAGAGGGAAGUGGAAUUCCUGGUGUAGAGGUGAAAUUCGUAGAUAUCAGGAGGAACACCGGUGGCGAAGGCGACUUCCUGGACCAAUACUGACGCUGAGGCGCGAAGGCGUGGGGAGCAAACAGGAUUAGAUACCCGUGUAGUC